RNAcentral lists this microRNA precursor (206 nucleotides) under Oryza glumipatula. Its description in RNAcentral is "MIR812 microRNA precursor family". It matches the Rfam family "MIR812 microRNA precursor family". The record is from Rfam by way of RNAcentral. Lineage: Eukaryota; Viridiplantae; Streptophyta; Magnoliopsida; Poales; Poaceae.
AAUAGAUAACGCCGUUGACUUUUUUUCACAUGUUUGACCAUUCAUCUUAUUCGAAAAAAAUUUACGUAAUUAUAAUUUAUUUUGUUAUGAGUUGUUUUAUCACUCAUAAUACUUUAAGUGUGAUUUAUAUCUUAUACAUUUGCAUAAAAUUUUUAAAUAAGACGAAUGAUCAAACGUGUGAGAAAAAGUUAACGGUAUUAUAUAUG